Long non-coding RNA from Entelurus aequoreus (snake pipefish), 2284 nucleotides. RefSeq lists it as uncharacterized. Lineage: Eukaryota; Metazoa; Chordata; Actinopteri; Syngnathiformes; Syngnathidae. The transcript has 4 exons. The record is from RefSeq and is a predicted model, not a curated record.
AGGGUGGUUGUGGAAAGAGAGAUGUACUCACCCAAAGGCUCCUCCUGCAAUGCAACACAACAAAAGCAGACUCGGUGCCGGUUGGAGUAAACCACUUUGGCCACGACGAUGGCGGAGGCCACGAUAAGAGCGGCGAUGAACACGCCGAUAACGGCGCCCGUGUAAGCCAAGGAAGCUGCGGAAAUGAAAAGGCGGCGUGGCUGACCUCCAGCUCGAACACGGCCAGCGGGUUCUCGCUGCGGCAGAAGUACACGCCCUCGUCGUCCUUGCUGACGUUGGCGAUGGUCAGCCGGUAGAUGGGGCCGUCCACGGACAGGAAGUACUUGGCGCCGGCCACGAUCUCCACUUGCUCCCGGCCCCGCCUCCAGGUGGUGUUGGCCGGCGGGGCGGACGUGGACUCCGUGCAGUAAACCAGCAGCUGGGCGCUCCUGUUGGCGGCGUUGUGGCUGACGGUGUUGUUGGCCGAGCAGCUGUAGACCCCCUGAGCGGCGGGCUGCACGUCCUUCAUCCUGAAGUCCAGCCAGGGAGCCUGGGACGACGCCAACAAGUGGUUAACGUCCGCCGCCCCUCUGAAGGUCCAGUUCAGAUGCUGGGACGGGUAAGAAUCGGCGACGCAGUGGAAGGAGACGGUGGAGCCGCGGUAGGUGACCAGCGUCCCGUUGGACAGGACGGUGGCGGGGUUGAUGGACACGGACAUGUUUGCUGGACCGCCUGGAGGAAGACGCCAUCAUUUUCUUUUGUGAUGUCAAUAUAAAAACAAAUAUUUUUACAAUAUAUUAUAUAUACAGUCGCGAUCAAAAGUGUACAUACACGUGUAAAGAACAUAAUGUCAUGGCUGUCUUGACUUUCCAAUCAAACUCUAAUUUGUUUGUGAUAGAGUGAUUGGAGCACAUACUUGUUGGUCACAAAAAACAUUCAUGAAGUUUGCUUCUUUUAUGAAUGUAUUAUGGCUCUACUGAAAAUGUGACUAGGUCAAAAGUCAUUGGCGUUGUUAGGCCUAUUUUAGGGGGGCUGAAGCCCCCUUAAAAUGUUCCUAAGCCCCCCUAAAUAAUUUAGAGAUAAAAAAAAAAAAGCUUUUUUUUUUUUUUUAAACAAAUACAUGCCAACAUAUUCGUUAUAAAGUGGCCCGAAUAUGAGUUUAAAUACAUAAUCAUAUAACCUGUCAUUAUUCACUCAGUUUCCCCUCACUUCAUAGCGUAAGUAAGGUAGAGAGCCCUUUUAGUGCGUCGGUAUCCAAUCCAUUCCACUUGUUCAUAUAGAAAAUGCCCACAUCACUCAAAAUCCAGUCCGCAUUUUCUCUGCGACCUUGCUUGCGGUCCUUGGACUUGUUCAUAUAGAAAAUGCCCACAUCACUCAAGAUCUAGUCCGCAUUUUCUCUGCAACCUUGCUUGCGGUCCUGCAGGUGUACGAAGUACAUUAGCACACAGCUAACUUACAAUUGUAAAUAAUUUAGUUUUUAAGUUUUGUGUUUCUUGUAGAAUCUAUAUAAAGUAAUAUACUUUAGCCUAUUGUUAAAAUAAUGAAAAAAACAUUAAAUAUAUUUGUUUUAUUGUAUUGUUACAUUAAUAGCUGUUGUAUUAUUAUAGGAUGGCUUGUUAAACAUUUCAUAGGAUUUUCAGAGGGUGGAAAAACCAAGACAUUUAAUAUAAAAUGUAAAAUGAAUAAAUACAUAAAAAGAAAAAGAAAAAAAAUGGUUAAAAGCCAUCGUCCUGGGAGCAUUUAAUUUUGUGCCGUGCAUUUUUUUUUACCGUCCCCGGGACGACGGGACUACAUUAAUCUCAAGCCCUGGAAGUUACAUUUUAUUGUUUGCAUUAUUUGUUUCAGCAUUGCACUUUGAAGAUGGUCCCUCAGCUUUUUGACAGCUUUGGUUCUUUUUCAGAUCAGCAGACGGACUCUAAGUCUUUCUUAUUUACAGUAUAUAAAAAAGUUUCUCAUUUCUAUUCAGACUUCCAUAUAUAUUUAAUUUCCUUAACGGCUUGCCAUAAUAUAUAUAUAUAUAAAUAUAUUAUAUACAAGCCAAAUUAUCCUGAUCCAGAUAUUACUUUAAUUCAAGUAAUUAAGUAAUAUUUCCAGGGCUUGAAUUUACAACCAUUUUAGUCACAUAUGUGCCCAAAAUGUAAUCUGUGCAACUUCAGAAUAUUUGGGAACAAACAAUUAUUGUAUUGUGAGUUAAAGUGGUGGCAUUAGCCUCUAUGUUGUGAAUGAAUAACAUAAAGGCUAAUGCCAUGACUUUCAUUGUGUUUCAGUGUAUCUUGAAGGAUCAUGCAAGUCAUUGUUUCUUGUU